Non-coding RNA from Paramuricea clavata, 2395 nucleotides. The record is from the annotation of a GenBank genome assembly. Lineage: Eukaryota; Metazoa; Cnidaria; Anthozoa; Malacalcyonacea; Plexauridae.
AAAAAUGUUACCGUGAAGCGCGAAGAAAAAACACUGUUUAUCGUUUCAGAACACUUUUCAGCAGAUUCAAAGAUUUACCGUUAAAAUACCAAAAUUUUACCGUUAAAAUACCAAAAUUUUUACCGUUUACUGAUUUUCAGACCACCUCCCCCCAUCUAGACCCUCCUAAAAGUAUAAAUAAUAAAUUACCAAUAAUUUCCAUACCCUUGGAGAUGAUUCUGAAUAGAGUCUAUAUUUUUUUUGAUUGGGGAAAUUAUGUUAUUUGCUUUCAGGGAACUGAAUCAAAAUAAGUAUUGGUUGAUAAGAAACUAGUUGACUGGUUAAUUCAUUGUGAUGCAAAGUACACGACUAUUGAAGAAACGCGAAGCAGACGUUAUAGAUUGUAUAGAACUAGAUUAUAAAAACCUCGAUGUAUGGUAAAUCGCUUUAUGUUCGCUUUAUAUGUGCUUUAAACUGAGAACGGUUGUGCAAAAGAAUUUUCCAUUUAGCCUAUAAAACCAAGUGUAACUUUUACAUCCUGAAUUGAACAAUAUAUAACGUACUGUAUAUAUAUACACACGUAAAAAUCUCACAACUUGUCAACAAGAUGCGUUCGCAAGCUUGUCAACAAGUUGUAUAACAAUGCUGUUAUUUUAUCAAGUUGUUACGAGGUUGUAUGCACUCACAACCUGUUGACAAAUUGUUGAAUUGCAGGACGAUAACAACUUGUAACAAGUCUGUUGAGCUCAAGCUGGGAACAAACAAUGCGAACACAUCCUGUUGACAACACCUGCAGCAGACUUGUAGCAAUAGACAAUUCCAGCUAUAUACUAAAUUUUGAUCUAGGCGAGAAGAACAAAAUCCAUCACUACAGCUAGAAGGAGUAUGUUAAAAUUAGUAAAAUUGCAAAGUUUGGUUGCGAAAUGUUGUAAAAUGAGGAAAAUAUAGCCCUACGAAAUUUUGUAUUAAUUUGUAUUACGGGAAUUUGCACCACUUUCGACCCAAAUGUAGCCUGCUCGCAGACGUUGACCCAAAUGUGGUGCAUUUUCCUGUGCGUAAUACAAAUUAAUACAAAAUUUGCAAAUUUCGCAGGGUUAUAUUUUCCUCAUUUUACAACAUUUCGCCAAACUUUGCAAUUUUACUAAUUUUAACAUGCUCUUUCUAGCUGUGGUGAUGGAUUUUGUUCUUCUUGCCUAGAUCAAAAUUUAGUCUAGCUGGAAUUGCUCAUUGCUACAAGUCUGCUGCAGGUUUGUCACAACUUCGUUUUUGCGUGUGUAGUGUGCAAGAUUGAAUGUCAUUCAGAAAAUACUGAACAAUGUUAUAAUAUGAUUUUGACUUGUAAUUAUAUAUAUCUUCCGUCUUACAAGAUACACAAGAUUCGUACAACCAGCUUUUUGUCGUGCAUGGCAAUGGACAGUGUAAAUAUUUAAUUUGUCAGACAUUAUUAAUAACGUAAACAGCGAACUAUAUACUGUAUUUAGUAAUGGUUUUUUUUCGCUCGCUAGUCGAAUUGCAUUCACAACCCAAUAGUUUCGACACUCCAGUCUAUUAAUAUAUAGUGUCUUCAUCAGGGUGAUCUGAAGUCGCAACGUGACUUCUUAUAUAUACCCAUGCAUGGGACGUUAUCUCAUGAGUAUAUAUAAGAAGUCACGUUGCGACUUAUCUGCCAACAAGAUGUAUAUAUUCUUGUGACAAAUAAGCACCGUCAUCCCUAUAUUCAAAGCAUGAUUACUCAUAAUUUAAUGCCACGCUUCUAGGCAAUGACUCUAGCGUUUUCCCACGCAAUCAAGUUGGUGUCACACACAUGUUCUGCUGAAGCUGAUUUUUAUUUAAGUUUAAACAGCCUUUUGGUGUUCUUCUAGGCGUGUGUCAAACUGGCGUUUAGGUUGACCUAGAUACUUACAGUCACCAGAUGGAACACAAUACACAACAUACAUGAUGUGUUUUAACAGGAUCUUUCGGCUUGCGAAAACAUGGCCUUAAUUAAGUCAAAUAAGGUUUUAAGGCAACCUUAAUAUUACAAUUACUUACGAUUCUCUUGAUUGGUUCUGUAACACCUUGAAUGUAGGGAACUACAGCAUAACCCUUGACAGAGGCAUCACAUGCUUUGAAUAGGGAUGACGGACAGACGGUGCCGGAUUUGCCACAAGAAUAUAUCCCAUCCGGUUGGCAGAUGACGUCAUCCCAUGGGCAUAUAUACUGAAGCUCUGUAGUGAAGCCACGUUGAGACAGAUCACCCCAGAUGAAGACACUGGAGUCUCGAAACGUUCGGUUGUGAAUGCAAUUCGACUGGGCUUUGCAUUCAUUUAUUCAUUUAGUCUUAGAAAAAAAUCGGCAAAGUAUAAAUUUUGCUCAAAAAAUUUGACAAUGAAAAUAAUUAAAAUGUAUAUGUUACAGUUGUUACUAAAUACGAGGU